GACGAACGCUGGCGGCGUGCUUAACACAUGCAAGUCGAACGGAAAGGCCCUGCUUUUGUGGGGUGCUCGAGUGGCGAACGGGUGAGUAACACGUGAGUAACCUGCCCUUGACUUUGGGAUAACUUCAGGAAACUGGGGCUAAUACCGGAUAGGUGCUCCUGCUGCAUGGUGGGGGUUGGAAAGUUUCGGCGGUUGGGGAUGGACUCGCGGCUUAUCAGCUUGUUGGUGGGGUAGUGGCUUACCAAGGCUUUGACGGGUAGCCGGCCUGAGAGGGUGACCGGCCACAUUGGGACUGAGAUACGGCCCAGACUCCUACGGGAGGCAGCAGUGGGGAAUACUGCACAAUGGGCGGAAGCCUGAUGCAGCAACGCCGCGUGCGGGAUGACGGCCUUCGGGUUGUAAACCGCUUUCGCCUGUGACGAAGCGUGAGUGACGGUAAUGGGUAAAGAAGCACCGGCUAACUACGUG
This 468-nucleotide ribosomal RNA is filed under the name uncultured bacterium. RNAcentral describes it as "partial 16S ribosomal RNA". It matches the Rfam family "Bacterial small subunit ribosomal RNA", at positions 28 to 507 of the family's 1533-position model. The record is from RNAcentral.